AGUGAGUGGCGAACGGGUGAGUAACACGUGAGUAACCUGCCCUCUUCUUUGGAUAACGCCCGGAAACGGGUGCUAAUACUGGAUAUUCACUGAUCUUCGCAUGGGGGUUGGUGGAAAGGUUUUUUCUGGCGGGGGAUGGGCUCGCGGCCUAUCAGCUUGUUGGUGGGGUGAUGGCCUACCAAGGCUUUGACGGGUAGCCGGCCUGAGAGGGUGACCGGUCACAUUGGGACUGAGAUACGGCCCAG
Molecule: ribosomal RNA, 245 nt
Filed under: uncultured bacterium
Lineage: Bacteria
Description: partial 16S ribosomal RNA
Rfam family: Bacterial small subunit ribosomal RNA
Source: RNAcentral